AACGUAGGACACAAGCGUUAUCCGGAGUUACUGGGCGUAAAGAGCGCGCAGGCGGUCGUUCAAGUCGCGUGUGAAAGCCCCCGGCUCAACUGGGGAGGGUCACGCGAUACUGAUCGACUCGAAGGCAGGAGAGGGAUGCGGAAUUCCAGGUGUAGCGGUGAAAUGCGUAGAUAUCUGGAGGAACACCGGUGGCGAAGGCGGCAUCCUGGACCAUGACUGACGCUGAGGAGCGAAAGCCAGGGGAGCAAAGCGGG
RNAcentral lists this ribosomal RNA (254 nucleotides) under uncultured bacterium. RNAcentral's name for it is "partial 16S ribosomal RNA". It matches the Rfam family "Bacterial small subunit ribosomal RNA", at positions 524 to 777 of the family's 1533-position model. The record is from RNAcentral.